CACUUUGUAAUGGAGUGGUUCAGAUUCGCAAACGUCCGUAAGGAAAGAAAAAAACAUUAAAAAGGAAGUGAUAAAUAUAUUAUCUUACUUGCGUGGCUCCGCGCGAGUGAUUAUUAUAGUAACAAAUUUUUUUAUUUGAAAGAUGAGUUUUAUCCCAAAACCUUCCGCUAGGAUCAGUGAUCUUCACCAAAGACAUUAUUGUGAUAAAUUGUAAUAUAUAUGAUAUAUAUUAUUUUUAUAUAAAUAAAACUUUUUUAUGAUAA
Long non-coding RNA from Temnothorax curvispinosus, 263 nucleotides. RefSeq lists it as uncharacterized. The transcript is spliced from 2 exons. The record is from RefSeq and is a predicted model, not a curated record. NCBI's taxonomy places the organism in Eukaryota, Metazoa, Arthropoda, Insecta, Hymenoptera, Formicidae.